Molecule: small RNA, 322 nt
Filed under: Oryza sativa Japonica Group (Japanese rice)
Lineage: Eukaryota; Viridiplantae; Streptophyta; Magnoliopsida; Poales; Poaceae
Description: sRNA Os08g0420650
Source: RNAcentral
GAUGCUAAUAUGCAAAUAAUGAACCAUGUAGUUUCUACAGAAACAAAUGAUGCACUAAUACCACUUCUAGUGCUCAUCUUGCUUGAUUCAUAUUAUAAGCUAGCACUAUAGCAUAUCAUGCCUUUGGUCUAGAGGCAUGCAGCUAUGCAAGGUUUUUUUAGCAUUCCAAGUUUGGGAUGGUCAACAAAAUGUAGUUUAUGUCGUCCAUAUGCAGCAUUUUCAAUGCAUAGCCAUGAAAAGAGUUUAUCAAUCACCAUGUACUUAGUCUAGGAAAUCAUUAAUUUAUGUUAGUGAUAUUACUGUAUAUAAUUGAUUUAGUGGG